Molecule: transfer RNA, 65 nt
Filed under: Oncomelania hupensis hupensis
Lineage: Eukaryota; Metazoa; Mollusca; Gastropoda; Littorinimorpha; Pomatiopsidae
Description: tRNA-Met
Source: RNAcentral
UGUAAAAUAAGCUAAAUAUUAAGCUGUUGGGUUCAUACCCCAAAAAUGAGAUUACUCUUUUACAA